GGACGCAAGUCUGAUUGGAGCAACGCCGCGUGAGUGAAGAAGGGUUUCGGCUCGUAAAGCUCUGUUGGUAGUGAAGAAAGAUAGAGGUAGUAACUGGCCUUUAUUUGACGGUAAUUACUUAGAAAGUCACGGCUAACUACGUGCCAGCAGCCGCGGUAAUACGUAGGUGGCAAGCGUUGUCCGGAUUUAUUGGGCGUAAAGCGAGUGCAGGCGGUUCAAUAAGUCUGAUGUGAAAGCCUUCGGCUCAACCGGAGAAUUGCAUCAGAAACUGUUGAACUUGAGUGCAGAAGAGGAGAGUGGAACUCCAUGUGUAGCGGUGGAAUGCGUAGAUAUAUGGAAGAACACCAGUGGCGAAGGCGGCUCUCUGGUCUGCAACUGACGCUGAGGCUCGAAAGCAUGGGUAGCGAACAGGAUUAGAUACCCUGGUAGUCCAUGCCGUAAACGAUGAGUGCUAAGUGUUGGGAGGUUUCCGCCUCUCAGUGCUGCAGCUAACGCAUUAAGCACUCCGCCUGGGGAGUACGACCGCAAGGUUGAAACUCAAAGGAAUUGACGGGGGCCCGCACAAGCGGUGGAGCAUGUGGUUUAAUUCGAAGCAACGCGAAGAACCUGCCAGGUCUUGACAUCCAGUGCAAACCUAAGAGAUUAGGUGUUCCCUUCGGGGACGCUGAGACAGGUGGUGCAUGG
Molecule: ribosomal RNA, 684 nt
Filed under: Lactobacillus gasseri
Lineage: Bacteria; Bacillati; Bacillota; Bacilli; Lactobacillales; Lactobacillaceae
Description: bacterial SSU rRNA
Rfam family: Bacterial small subunit ribosomal RNA
Source: RNAcentral